This 499-nucleotide ribosomal RNA is filed under the name uncultured bacterium. RNAcentral's name for it is "partial 16S ribosomal RNA". It matches the Rfam family "Bacterial small subunit ribosomal RNA", at positions 28 to 507 of the family's 1533-position model. The record is from RNAcentral.
GACGAACGCUGGCGGCGUGCCUAAUACAUGCAAGUCGAGCGAAGUUUUUCUGGUGCUUGCACCGGAAAAACUUAGCGGCGAACGGGUGAGUAACACGUAAAGAACCUGCCUCAUAGACUGGGACAACUAUUGGAAACGAUAGCUAAUACCGGAUAAUAGCAUUAACUGCAUGGUUGAUGUUUAAAAGUUGGUUUUGCUAACACUAUGAGAUGGCUUUGCGGUGCAUUAGCUAGUUGGUGGGGUAAAGGCCUACCAAGGCGACGAUGCAUAGCCGACCUGAGAGGGUGAUCGGCCACACUGGGACUGAGACACGGCCCAGACUCCUACGGGAGGCAGCAGUAGGGAAUCUUCCGCAAUGGGCGAAAGCCUGACGGAGCAACGCCGCGUGAGUGAAGAAGGAUUUCGGUUCGUAAAGCUCUGUUGUUAGGGAAGAAUGAUUGUGUAGUAACUAUACACAGUAGAGAUGGUACCUAACCAGAAAGCCACGGCUAACUACGUG